RNAcentral lists this transfer RNA (90 nucleotides) under Pseudobdellovibrionaceae bacterium. RNAcentral describes it as "Bdellovibrionaceae bacterium (activated sludge metagenome) tRNA-Ser". It matches the Rfam family "tRNA". From Rfam's summary of the family: Transfer RNA (tRNA) molecules are approximately 80 nucleotides in length. Their secondary structure includes four short double-helical elements and three loops (D, anti-codon, and T loops). Lineage: Bacteria; Pseudomonadati; Bdellovibrionota; Bdellovibrionia; Bdellovibrionales; Pseudobdellovibrionaceae. The record is from RNAcentral.
GGAGAGGUGGCCGAGUGGCUGAAGGCGCACGCUUGGAAAGCGUGUUUACCCUAACCGGUAACGUGAGUUCGAAUCUCACUCUCUCCGCCA